CCAGCAACAUUUAAGACCGGUGCCUGUUAAGGACAUGUGCUACCAAAACAGACCCUUUGAAUCUUCAUGGCCUU
Mustela erminea (ermine) is the source of this 74-nucleotide long non-coding RNA. RefSeq lists it as uncharacterized. The record is from RefSeq and is a predicted model, not a curated record. Lineage: Eukaryota; Metazoa; Chordata; Mammalia; Carnivora; Mustelidae. The transcript has 3 exons.